ACAUUCGAUGCACGGAAAGACCUUACCUACCCUUGACAUGUACGGAAGCCACGAGAGAUCGAGGUGUGCUCGAAAGAGAACCGUAACACAGGUGCUGCAUGGCUGUCGUCAGCUCGUGUCGUGAGAUGUUGGGUUAAGUCCCGCAACGAGCGCAACCCUUGUCAUUAGUUGCUACGAAAGGGCACUCUAAUGAGACUGCCGGUGACAAACCGGAGGAAGGUGGGGAUGACGUCAAGUCCUCAUGGCCCUUAUGGGUAGGGCUUCACACGUCAUACAAUGGUACAUACAGAGGGCCGCCAACCCGCGAGAGGGAGCUAAUCCCAGAAAGUGUAUCGUAGUCCGGAUUGUAGUCUGCAACUCGACUACAUGAAGUUGGAAUCGCUAGUAAUCGCGGAUCAGCAUGUCGCGGUGAAUACGUUCCCGGGUCUUGUACACACCGCCCGUCACACCAUGNGAGCGGGUUUCACCAGAAGUAGGUAGCCUAACCGUAAGGAGGGCGCUUACCACGGUGGGAUUCGUGACUGGGGUGAAGUCGUAA
Molecule: ribosomal RNA, 538 nt
Filed under: beta proteobacterium BAC158P
Lineage: Bacteria; Pseudomonadati; Pseudomonadota; Betaproteobacteria
Description: bacterial SSU rRNA
Rfam family: Bacterial small subunit ribosomal RNA
Source: RNAcentral